RNAcentral lists this ribosomal RNA (731 nucleotides) under Crepidotus subverrucisporus. Its description in RNAcentral is "eukaryotic LSU rRNA". The stretch from base 304 to 457 matches the Rfam family "5.8S ribosomal RNA". The record is from RNAcentral. Lineage: Eukaryota; Fungi; Basidiomycota; Agaricomycetes; Agaricales; Crepidotaceae.
GGAAGUAAAAGUCGUAACAAGGUUUCCGUAGGUGAACCUGCGGAAGGAUCAUUAACGAAUAAACUUGGUGGAUUGUCGCUGGCUCUCUAGGGAGCAUGUGCACGUCUGUCAUCUUUAUCUUUCCACCUGUGCACCUUUUGUAGACCUGGAGAAAACCUAAUUCUGAGGAAACUCAGGCGUGAGGAGUUGCAGGCUUUCGCAAGUCAGCUCUCCUUGAGUAUCCAGGUCUAUGUUUUUCAUAUACACCAAUGAAAUGUAUUAGAAUGUAUACAAUGGGUCUUUGUACCUAUAAUAAAACUAUACAACUUUCAGCAACGGAUCUCUUGGCUCUCGCAUCGAUGAAGAACGCAGCGAAAUGCGAUAAGUAAUGUGAAUUGCAGAAUUCAGUGAAUCAUCGAAUCUUUGAACGCAUCUUGCGCUCCUUGGUAUUCCGAGGAGCAUGCCUGUUUGAGUGUCAUUAAAUUCUCAACUUUACCGGCUUUGCUGCUGGUAAGGCUUGGAUGUGGGGGUUUUUGCAGGCUUUCACAAGUCAGCUCCCCUGAAAUGCAUUAGCAGUACCCUUGUGGUAAACGGCUAUUGGUGUGAUAAUUAUCUACGCCAUUCGGUCGCCCACAUAUUAUAAAAGGGUUAUGCUGCUUCUAACAGUCCAUUGACUUGGACAAUACAAUGACAAUUUUGGGCCUCAAUCAGGUAGGACUACCCGCUGAACUUAAGCAUAUCAAUAAGCCGGA